This 254-nucleotide ribosomal RNA is filed under the name uncultured bacterium. RNAcentral describes it as "partial 16S ribosomal RNA". It matches the Rfam family "Bacterial small subunit ribosomal RNA", at positions 524 to 776 of the family's 1533-position model. The record is from RNAcentral.
UACGUAGGGGGCAAGCGUUGUCCGGAAUUAUUGGGCGUAAAGAGCUCGUAGGCGGUUCGGCAAGUCGGAUGUGAAAUCUCCACGCUUAACGUGGAGGGGCCAUUCGAAACUGCCGUGACUCGAGUCCGGUAGGGGAGUUCGGAAUUCCCGGUGUAGCGGUGAAAUGCGCAGAUAUCGGGAGGAGCACCAGUGGCGAAGGCGGCAUCCUGGACCGACAUUGACGCUGAUGAGCGAAAGCUAGGGGAGCAAACGGG